This 442-nucleotide ribosomal RNA is filed under the name uncultured bacterium. Its description in RNAcentral is "partial 16S ribosomal RNA". It matches the Rfam family "Bacterial small subunit ribosomal RNA", at positions 338 to 795 of the family's 1533-position model. The record is from RNAcentral.
CCUACGGGAGGCAGCAGUGGGGAAUAUUGGGCAAUGGGCGAAAGCCUGACCCAGCAACGCCGCGUGAAGGAAGAAGGCUUUCGGGUUGUACACUUCUUUUGACAGGGAAGAGCAGAAGACGGUACCUGUCGAAUAAGCCACGGCUAACUACGUGCCAGCAGCCGCGGUAAUACGUAGGUGGCAAGCGUUGUCCGGAUUUACUGGGUGUAAAGGGCGUGUAGCCGGGCUGACAAGUCAGAUGUGAAAUACGGGGGCUCAACCCCCGAACUGCAUUUGAAACUGUUGGUCUUGAGUAUCGGAGAGGCAGGCGGAAUUCCUAGUGUAGCGGUGAAAUGCGUAGAUAUUAGGAGGAACACCAGUGGCGAAGGCGGCCUGCUGGACGACAACUGACGGUGAGGCGCGAAAGCGUGGGGAGCAAACAGGAUUAGAUACCCUAGUAGUC